AAAACAGUAGCGCAUUUGGUAAGUGGUCGAUCUGAGAACAAUGAGACGGGUGCGAGCGUGCACGAGACGACUCCAAGUUUACAUUUUCAGUCUUUAAACGAAAACAAUGACUCCCAGUCGGAAUAUUAUCGCUAUUUUCGAGAAAAUCGCAUAAAAAUGGAUUUUAAACAGCGUUUGACAUGCUUCGAAGUACGGUAAUGGAAUAUUUUGAAAUUCUUUGUCACGAUACGCGUCGGGCGCGUCACCCUUCGUUACCCUUCGGAUAGUGUCUUGAACGCACAACAAAACGCCGCUAUUUGGAUAUAACUAUGGAUUAUUUGGAACCAAAACAACAUUGGGUGAUGAAGUAGAAGUCCUGGGAGUGCAUUCUGACGAAGAACAGCAAAGGUUUUUAUAUGACCUUUCAUAUCGAGUGGUUCCAAUGACAAAUUUUUACGCGAGCCACCUGUGCCUGGUGGCGUUCUUCAACAAAGAUGGCUGACAAAACAUUACGGUGGAUCCAAAUGGACUCCUGAGAAAACCAGCAAACCAGGCUGUCGUCUGUGAAACAGUGGAUGUAAAGAAUCUAG
Molecule: long non-coding RNA, 569 nt
Filed under: Salmo salar (Atlantic salmon)
Lineage: Eukaryota; Metazoa; Chordata; Actinopteri; Salmoniformes; Salmonidae
Description: lncRNA (ENSSSAG00000097239.1)
Source: RNAcentral